GGGGAGGAGGGCCAAGACGUGGCCUUAGCGCGAAGAGGCGGACCAGGGAGGUGGGCGGGGCCGGGAGGAGGAACUGGGCUGCGCGGGGAGGAAGACCGAGUCCGGGGCUGGGCCUGUGGGGAGGCCUGGAAACCGGAAGUUGCUUCGCCGCGCGCGUCCGAGGGCUAGUUGGCUGCAAACAAAGCUAACGGCUGGGGUUUGUAUCUCGGGGUCGCUUAGGGCGGCUCCAUCCCCAACCCAAGCUGAGGUCCCGAGCUUUGUGGGUCCUUCCGGCCAAGGGCGCGUCCUGCUGAUCCCUCCCCCAGGUCUGUGGAGCGGACUCCUGGAGCAUACCCACUCCCGCGCUCCUGCAGCGUCUGCCAUUUAGAAAAACGCUUCUAAGUCCCGGAUAUCCCUCUGGACUUGAGCCUUCAGGGAAGUCCAACUGGCUGUCCUUGUUCCCCAGCCUGCUGCCGCCUCCCCAGUGACUUUGUGCGUCAGGGUCGUGGAGAAACAGCGAGUUCCCACUUGGAGAUGUGACAGAGGAAAGGAAGGCUUUUGGUGACACGCAGAAAUCCCUGCCUCUAAAUGAGGAGAGUUUCGUUUUUAUCCCCUAAACUGAGGGCUUUCCAAUAAGAGGAACGUUUCUGACCCGCUGUACUCUAGGAACCCAUUUAUGCAUACUCAGAACGUACUAAAUUGUAAGGCUGAGUAAGCCCUCCGAGAGGAGGCUUCGUAGCCUAAAGACAAGUCUCUUUAGGUUCAGGAAAAAGGAAUUCAAACAAUGAUUGCCACCCAACUUUAUAGUAGCCAGGAAUGUGUCGUGCGGGAGACCAGUGUGAAGGACACCACUUGAAAAACUGCUGAGAAAGAAUAGAAACACAUCAACAGUGCAGAUAGAGAAGGGAAGCUUUGUGAAACAACAGAAUCUCUGUAGUGUUGGAGAAAAUUCUGAACUCUCUUCAGUCCCUGAUUUUGGCCAACCUGAACUACUUCCAGCUGUAAUGCAUACUAGCAGAGAUAAAAGAAUAAAAAUCUGCUCGAUCAGUAUCACAUUAUUCUGAACACUCAGGGAAAUCAAUAUGAGGACUGAGAGAACAAACUGCACAACUAGAGGAAGAAAAGAGGCCACAUCGAGGAGAAUUAUGUCCCUGGUCGCCACAAACCACUAAGAACUGUUAUAUGGGCCACAAGAAAAAGGAGUGACUCCUUCUUAUGACUCCAAAUAAUGCUACUACAUGGUUCUGCAGACACUGACAGCCCCAGGAAUAGUCACAGCACCACUGACUUGGUCUUCCCAUCUCUCUACCAGGAGCCUUUUCAACUCUGAGUAAUGGCUCCCACAAUUCAGUUUUUCUCUGUGUCUUGUAAAAAGGGUGCUGAAAACUACCUCUCUAAUGAAUAGCUAUACUUUUAUAAUAAUGUUUCCUGACAAAUAAUACGUGCUACAUGGCAUAGAAGGGGUUGACUCUACAUUUUCAAACCUCAGGCUUUGGGAAAAUACCUUCAACUUCAAGAAUCACUUCCAGGGUGUUUGGGUGGCUCUGUUGGUUAAACGUUUGCCUUCAGCUCAGGUCCU
Molecule: long non-coding RNA, 1558 nt
Organism: Mustela erminea (ermine)
Lineage: Eukaryota; Metazoa; Chordata; Mammalia; Carnivora; Mustelidae
Exons: 4
Source: RefSeq, a predicted model, not a curated record